UGAUCCUCCUGCCUCAGCCUUCCAAAUAGCUAGGACUACAGGCAUGCAUCCCCAAGCCUGGCUAAUUUUUUAAAGAAUUCUUUGUAGAGACAGGGUCUCACCAUCUUACUAAUCGUGGACUCCUGGACUCAUGCAGUCUGCCCACUUCAACUUCCAAAAGUGCUGGGAUUCAGACGUGAGACACUGUGCCUGGCGGACUAUAUUCUUUGAAGGGGAGGAGUGAUGUGUGCUUCAGAUGGCCCCUGAAAGCUGCUUUGCCUGAGGCUCAUUCCCUGACUCUUGAAGAGGACAGUGGACAGUGCUGUUUAAUGGUGGACACAGAAGGAUCAGACCAGGACCUCCCUACAAUAGGGAAGGGAGCUAUGCUAUGCUGUCGACUUGCUGGAGAAGAUGCUUGUAUUGGACUCAGAUAAGAGAAUUACAGCGGCCCAAGCCCUUGCACAUGCCUACUUUGCUCAGUACCACGAUCCUGAUGAUGAACCAGUGGCCGAUCCUUAUGAUCAGUCCUUUGAAAGCAGGGACCUCCUUAUAGAUGAGUGGAAAAGCCUGACCUAUGAUGAAGUCAUCAGCUUUGUGCCACCACCCCUUGACCAAGAAGAGAUGGAGUCCUGAGCACCUGGUUUCUGUUCUGUUGAUCCCACUUCACUGUGAGGGGAAGGCCUUUUCACGGGAACUCUCCAAAUAUUAUUCAAGUGCCUCUUGUUGCAGAGAUUUCCUCCAUGGUGGAAGGGGGUGUGCGUGCGUGUGCGUGCGUGUUAGUGUGUGUGCAUGUGUGUGUCUGUCUUUGUGGGAGGGUAAGACAAUAUGAACAAACUAUGAUCACAGUGACUUUACAGGAGGUUGUGGAUGCUCCAGGGCAGCCUCCACCUUGCUCUUCUUUCUGAGAGUUGGCUCAGGCAGACAAGAGCUGCUGUCCUUUUAGGAAUAUGUUCAAUGCAAAGUAAAAAAAUAUGAAUUGUCCCCAAUCCCGGUCAUGCUUUUGCCACUUUGGCUUCUCCUGUGACCCCACCUUGACGGUGGGGCGUAGACUUGACAACAUCCCACAGUGGCACGGAGAGAAGGCCCAUACCUUCUGGUUGCUUCAGACCUGACACCGUCCCUCAGUGAUACGUACAGCCAAAAAGGACCAACUGGCUUCUGUGCACUAGCCUGUGAUUAACUUGCUUAGUAUGGUUCUCAGAUCUUGACAGUAUAUUUGAAACUGUAAAUAUGUUUGUGCCUUAAAAGGAGAGAAGAAAGUGUAGAUAGUUAAAAGACUGCAGCUGCUGAAGUUCUGAGCCGGGCAAGUCGAGAGGGCUGUUGGACAGCUGCUUGUGGGCCCGGAGUAAUCAGGCAGCCUUCAUAGGCGGUCAUGUGUGCAUGUGAGCACAUGCGUAUAUGUGCGUCUCUCUUUCUCCCUCACCCCCAGGUGUUGCCAUUUCUCUGCUUACCCUUCACCUUUGGUGCAGAGGUUUCUUGAAUAUCUGCCCCAGUAGUCAGAAGCAGGUUCUUGAUGUCAUGUACUUCCUGUGUACUCUUUAUUUCUAGCAGAGUGAGGAUGUGUUUUGCACGUCUUGCUAUUUGAGCAUGCACAGCUGCUUGUCCUGCUCUCUUCAGGAGGCCCUGGUGUCAGGCAGGUUUGCCAGUGAAGACUUCUUGGGUAGUUUAGAUCCCAUGUCACCUCAGCUGAUAUUAUGGCAAGUGAUAUCACCUCUCUUCAGCCCCUAGUGCUAUUCUGUGUUGAACACAAUUGAUACUUCAGGUGCUUUUGAUGUGAAAAUCAUGAAAAGAGGAACAGGUGGAUGUAUAGCAUUUUUAUUCAUGCCAUCUGUUUUCAACCAACUAUUUUUGAGGAAUUAUCAUGGGAAAAGACCAGGGCUUUUCCCAGGAAUAUCCCAAACUUCGGAAACAAGUUAUUCUCUUCACUCCCAAUAACUAAUGCUAAGAAAUGCUGAAAAUCAAAGUAAAAAAUUAAAGCCCAUAAGGCCAGAAACUCCUUUUGCUGUCUUUCUCUAAAUAUGAUUACUUUAAAAUAAAAAAGUAACAAGGUGUCUUUUCCACUCCUAUGGAAAAGGGUCUUCUUGGCAGCUUAACAUUGACUUCUUGGUUUGGGGAGAAAUAAAUUUUGUUUCAGAAUUUUGUAUAUUGUAGGAAUCCUUUGAGAAUGUGAUUCCUUUUGAUGGGGAGAAAGGGCAAAUUAUUUUAAUAUUUUGUAUUUUCAACUUUAUAAAGAUAAAAUAUCCUCAGGGGUGGAGAAGUGUCGUUUUCAUAACUUGCUGAAUUUCAGGCAUUUUGUUCUACAUGAGGACUCAUAUAUUUAAGCCUUUUGUGUAAUAAGAAAGUAUAAAGUCACUUCCAGUGUUGGCUGUGUGACAGAAUCUUGUAUUUGGGCCAAGGUGUUUCCAUUUCUCAAUCAGUGCAGUGAUACAUGUACUCCAGAGGGACAGGGUGGACCCCCUGAGUCAACUGGAGCAAGAAGGAAGGAGGCAGACUGAUGGCGAUUCCCUCUCACCCGGGACUCUCCCCCUUUCAAGGAAAGUGAACCUUUAAAGUAAAGGCCUCAUCUCCUUUAUUGCAGUUCAAAUCCUCACCAUCCACAGCAAGAUGAAUUUUAUCAGCCAUGUUUGGUUGUAAAUGCUCGUGUGAUUUCCUACAGAAAUACUGCUCUGAAUAUUUUGUAAUAAAGGUCUUUGCACAUGUGACCACAUACGUGUUAGGAGGCUGCAUGCUCUGGAAGCCUGGACUCUAAGCUGGAGCUCUUGGAAGAGCUCUUCGGUUUCUGAGCAUAAUGCUCCCAUCUCCUGAUUUCUCUGAACAGAAAACAAAAGAGAGAAUGAGGGAAAUUGCUAUUUUAUUUGUAUUCAUGAACUUGGCUGUAAUCAGUUAUGCCGUAUAGGAUGUCAGACAAUACCACUGGUUAAAAUAAAGCCUAUUUUUCAAA
RNAcentral lists this long non-coding RNA (2920 nucleotides) under Homo sapiens (human). RNAcentral's name for it is "HSALNT0105539". Lineage: Eukaryota; Metazoa; Chordata; Mammalia; Primates; Hominidae. The record is from RNAcentral.